Molecule: long non-coding RNA, 385 nt
Filed under: Volvox carteri
Lineage: Eukaryota; Viridiplantae; Chlorophyta; Chlorophyceae; Chlamydomonadales; Volvocaceae
Description: long non-coding RNA (VCAR_LNC001080)
Source: RNAcentral
CAGUAACAGUGCGACCAGGUUCGUUUCGCCACCAUUCGCCAGGGUGUUUCCGCUCUCUAACUGGAUAUCGUGUCCCUGCCAUUUCCACAUCAGGCUGAUUAAUUCCUUGCCCGUUCGCACUGCUGGAAGGUCCAGCCCCAGCCGGCGCCCCCUCGCCACCCAAAUGCGGCAAUCCCUCGCCGACGGUGCUACCUGGUGUCCCUUUGCCAGCCCUAGGCAGCGAUCCCUCACCAGAUAAACUAGUGCGAAACUCCUCCUCCUCGUCGGCAUCGGACUCAUAAUCGGAGUCCCCGGCAUUACGCCGCCGGCCGACAUUAGACUCGUCAAAACGAACGUUAGAAACUACGGCAAUAAUGCCGUCCUCGUAUAAUACACGAUACUGUCC